Molecule: ribosomal RNA, 568 nt
Filed under: uncultured bacterium
Lineage: Bacteria
Description: bacterial SSU rRNA
Rfam family: Bacterial small subunit ribosomal RNA
Source: RNAcentral
CCUACGGGAGGCAGCAGUCGAGGAUCUUCGGCAAUGGACGAAAGUCUGACCGAGCAACGCCGCGUGUGCGAUGAAGGCCUUCGGGUUGUAAAGCACUGUCGAGGGGAAACAAGCCGUAAGGUUGAGUGACCCCUGGAGGAAGCACGGGCUAAGUUCGUGCCAGCAGCCGCGGUAAGACGAACCGUGCAACGUUAUUCGGAAUCACUGGGCUUAAAGGGCGCGUAGGCGGGUAAUCAAGUCAAUGGGUGAAAUCCUCCAGCUUAACUGGAGAAGUGCCUUUGAUACUGGUUGUCUAGAGGGAGGUAGGGGCAUGUGGAACUUCAGGUGGAGCGGUGAAAUGCGUAGAUAUCUGAAGGAACGCCAGUGGCGAAAGCGAUGUGCUGGACCUCUUCUGACGCUGAGGCGCGAAAGCUAGGGGAUCAAACGGGAUUAGAUACCCCGGUAGUCCUAGCCCUAAACUAUGGGUACUAGAUUGUGGACUUUCAUGGGUUCACAGUCGAAGCAAAAGUGUUAAGUACCCCGCCUGGGGAGUAUGGUCGCAAGGCUGAAACUCAAAAGGAAUUGACGG